GACGAACGCUGGCGGCGUGCCUAACACAUGCAAGUCGAGCGGAGGUACUGAAGAAGCAAUUUGGAAGUACUUUAGCGGCGGACGGGUGAGUAACGCGUGAGCGACCUACCUUACACAGGGGGGAUAACGGAGGGAAACCUUCACUAAUACCGCAUAAGACCACAGCAUCGCAUGAUGCGGGGGUCAAAGGAGAAAUCCGGUGAAAGAUGGGCUCGCGUCCUAUUAGAUAGUUGGUGGGGUAACGGCCUACCAAGUCAACGAUGGGUAGCCGACCUGAGAGGGUGAUCGGCCACAUUGGGAACUGAGAGACGGUCCAAACUCCUACGGGAGGCUG
RNAcentral lists this ribosomal RNA (334 nucleotides) under uncultured Bacillota bacterium. RNAcentral's name for it is "bacterial SSU rRNA". It matches the Rfam family "Bacterial small subunit ribosomal RNA", at positions 28 to 351 of the family's 1533-position model. The record is from RNAcentral. Lineage: Bacteria; Bacillati; Bacillota.